This 120-nucleotide ribosomal RNA is filed under the name Pteropus alecto (black flying fox). Lineage: Eukaryota; Metazoa; Chordata; Mammalia; Chiroptera; Pteropodidae. The record is from RNAcentral.
AUCUACAGCCAUGCCACCCUGAAUGGGCCCAAUCUCGUCUGAUCUUGGGAAGCUAAGAAGGGUCAGGCCUGGUUAGUACUUGGAUGGGAGACCACCUAGGAAGACCAGGUGCUGCAGGCA